AAUGCUGUGCCUGAUAAAAGGAUUACUGUGAUAGAGUAAAUUAUGUAAUAAAGUUACCUCCAUUA
Molecule: transfer RNA, 65 nt
Filed under: Hemigyrus spinosus spinosus
Lineage: Eukaryota; Metazoa; Arthropoda; Insecta; Orthoptera; Tettigoniidae
Description: tRNA-Ile
Source: RNAcentral